AAACCAACAGGGAUUGCCUUAGUAGCGGCGAGUGAAGCGGCAAAAGCUCAAUUUUGAAAUCUGGUACCUUCGGUGCCCGAGUUGUAAUCUGAUCGAAGCAUUCUUGAGGUUGGCCCUUGUCUAUGUUCCUUGGAACAGGACGUCACAGAGGGUGAGAAUCCCGUGCGAUGGGGUGUCCAACCUUAUGUAAGAUGUUUUUGAAGAGUCGAGUUGUUUGGGAAUGCAGCUCUAAGUGGGUGGUAAAUUCCAUCUAAAGCUAAAUAUUGGCGAGAGACCGAUAGCGAACAAGUACUGUGAAGGAAAGAUGAAAAGAACUUUGAAAAGAGAGUGAAAAAGUACGUGAAAUUGUUGAAAGGGAAGGGUAUUUGAUCAGACUGGUAUUUAGUUAUCUUUGCUCCUUGUGGGUGAGGCUCUAACUUUUUACUGGGCCAGCAUCAGUUUUGAUGGUGAGAUAAUCGCAGUUGAAUGUGGCUCUUCGGAGUGUUAUAGCUUCUGUUGAUAUCACCUAUCGGGACUGAGGUCUGCGGUUUAUCCUAGGAUGCUGGCGUAAUGAUCUAAUACCGC
RNAcentral lists this ribosomal RNA (564 nucleotides) under Wenyingozyma methanosorbosa. Its description in RNAcentral is "eukaryotic LSU rRNA". It matches the Rfam family "Eukaryotic large subunit ribosomal RNA", at positions 62 to 648 of the family's 3401-position model. The record is from RNAcentral. Lineage: Eukaryota; Fungi; Ascomycota; Pichiomycetes; Pichiales; Pichiaceae.